RNAcentral lists this ribosomal RNA (497 nucleotides) under uncultured bacterium. RNAcentral describes it as "partial 16S ribosomal RNA". It matches the Rfam family "Bacterial small subunit ribosomal RNA", at positions 28 to 507 of the family's 1533-position model. The record is from RNAcentral.
GAUGAACGCUGGCGGCGUGCCUAAUACAUGCAAGUCGAGCGAACGGACGAGAAGCUUGCUUCUCUGAUGUUAGCGGCGGACGGGUGAGUAACACGUGGAUAACCUACCUAUAAGACUGGGAUAACUUCGGGAAACCGGAGCUAAUACCGGAUAAUAUUUUGAACCGCAUGGUUCAAAAGUGAAAGACGGUCUUGCUGUCACUUAUAGAUGGAUCCGCGCUGCAUUAGCUAGUUGGUAAGGUAACGGCUUACCAAGGCAACGAUGCAUAGCCGACCUGAGAGUGUGACGGCCCACACGGGACAUGAGACACGGCCAAGACACCUGCGGGGGGAAGCAGACGGGAUUCUUCCGCAGGGGGGAAAAGCCGAACGGAGCAACGCGGGGGGAGAGAUAAAGGUCCUGGUAUCUAAAAACUUUUUUAUGGGGGAAAAACAUAUGUGUAAGAAACUGUGCACAUCUUGAGGGUACCAAAUAAGAAAGCCACGGCAAACUCCGUC